GAUGAACGCUGGCGGCGUGCCUAAUACAUGCAAGUCGAGCGAACGGACGAGAAGCUUGCUUCUCUGAUGUUAGCGGCGGACGGGUGAGUAACACGUGGAUAACCUACCUAUAAGACUGGGAUAACUUCGGGAAACCGGAGCUAAUACCGGAUGAUAUUUUGAACCGCAUGGUUCAAAAGUGAAAGACGGUCUUGCUGUCACUUAUAGAUGGAUCCGCGCUGCAUUAGCUAGUUGGUAAGGUAACGGCUUACCAAGGCAACGAUGCAUAGCCGACCUGAGAGGGUGAUCGGCCACACUGGAACUGAGACACGGUCCAGACUCCUACGGGAGGCAGCAGUAGGGAAUCUUCCGCAAUGGGCGAAAGCCUGACGGAGCAACGCCGCGUGAGUGAUGAAGGGCUUCGGAUCGUAAAACUCUGUUAUUAGGGAAGAACAUAUGUGUAAGUAACUGUGCACAUCUUGACGGUACCUAAUCAGAAAGCCACGGCUAACUACGUG
RNAcentral lists this ribosomal RNA (497 nucleotides) under uncultured bacterium. RNAcentral's name for it is "partial 16S ribosomal RNA". It matches the Rfam family "Bacterial small subunit ribosomal RNA", at positions 28 to 507 of the family's 1533-position model. The record is from RNAcentral.